Molecule: long non-coding RNA, 293 nt
Filed under: Homo sapiens (human)
Lineage: Eukaryota; Metazoa; Chordata; Mammalia; Primates; Hominidae
Description: HSALNT0311193
Source: RNAcentral
CUUAGCCUGCGGCUUUGCUUGGGAUUGGACCGACGUCUAGUUACUGGGAUGUGAGGUCUGGAACAGCUGCAGCCAUUUUGCCACCAUGGGAAACCUGGGACAUCUGAACUGACUCCAUGAAGCCUGAAGAGAAAGCUAAUAAGAAGGCAGAGAGAAGAGGAAGAGUCUUGGUCUUUGGAAAUAUCUUUUGGAGCUGCUGGAUCAAGUAUCACUUGAAGGUAGAACUAAAUCUGCACUUUAAAUUUACAUAUCCAAUAAAAAGUUCUUUAUGUUGUAAGCCAGUUUGAGGUGGA